This 83-nucleotide transfer RNA is filed under the name Lachnospiraceae bacterium oral taxon 096. Its description in RNAcentral is "tRNA-Leu". It matches the Rfam family "tRNA". Rfam says of the family: Transfer RNA (tRNA) molecules are approximately 80 nucleotides in length. Lineage: Bacteria; Bacillati; Bacillota; Clostridia; Lachnospirales; Lachnospiraceae. The record is from RNAcentral.
GCGGGUGUGGUGGAAUUGGCAGACACGCAAGAUUUAGGUUCUUGUGGGCGACCGUGCAGGUUCAAGUCCUGUCACCCGCACGA